GCCAACUGUCCAGCCAACUGAAGACAGUAGUGUUAAUUCAAAAGUUAGAGAUUGAUAUUCAAAUAUUUGACCUCUUUCUGAAUUAGGCAGUUUUCAUUAACGUGUUAGUAGGAGAGUACCACAGAAUGGCAGAAACAAUGACAGCAAACAGCAUACUUGAUAUACUCAACAUUGAGCAGCAAAGAGGACUGUGAACAACACUCAUGCUCUUACACAACCUCCUAGCAAGAUUCUGGAGAUGAUGAGAUAAAGAAACUUCCUUUGCAGUAGAAGAAGACCACUACAGAAAAUACCAAGCAACCAAAAUGCAAAGUUAUCAAGCCCAAUCCUACAUGGCAAGGCUCAGGAAAGAUUGCAGAGAAUAAUAAAUGAUUCAAAGAUCAGUGACAUUCAGCCUCUAUUCGAAACAAAUGGCAGUCUUUGAACCAAUAGGACACUAAGAAGAAGAUUCAAGUUUCA
Molecule: long non-coding RNA, 459 nt
Organism: Mus caroli (Ryukyu mouse)
Lineage: Eukaryota; Metazoa; Chordata; Mammalia; Rodentia; Muridae
Source: RefSeq, a predicted model, not a curated record